CCGUAGUCGGUGCCGCAGCAAACGCAAUAAGUAUUCACCUCGGGGAGUACGUUCGCAAGAAUGAAACUCAAAGGAAUUGACGGGACCCGCACAAGCGGUGGAGCAUGUGGUUUAAUCCGAAGCAACGCGAAGAACCUUACCAAGUCUUGACAUCCCUCUGACCGUCCCUUAACCGGGGCUUUCCUUCGGGACAGGGGAGACAGGUUGUGCAUGGUUGUCGUCAGCUCGUGUCGUGAGAUGUUGGGUUAAGUCCCGCAACGAGCGCAACCCCUAUCCUUAGUAGCCAGCAGUAAGAUGGGCACUCUGGGGAGACUGCCGGAGACAAUCCGGAGGAAGGUGGGGAUGACGUCAAAUCAUCAUGCCCCUUAUGAUUUGGGCUACACACGUGCUACAAUGGCGUAAACAAAGGGAAGCGACGGAGUGAUCCUGAGCAAAUCUCAAAAAUAACGUCCCAGUUCGGAUUGUAGUCUGCAACUCGACUACAUGAAGCUGGAAUCGCUAGUAAUCGCGGAUCAGAAUGCCGCGGUGAAUACGUUCCCGGGU
This 543-nucleotide ribosomal RNA is filed under the name uncultured bacterium. RNAcentral's name for it is "bacterial SSU rRNA". It matches the Rfam family "Bacterial small subunit ribosomal RNA", at positions 834 to 1379 of the family's 1533-position model. The record is from RNAcentral.